GCGUCAGUAGUGCAACUGGUUAGAGCACGCGCUCUUGGACAGAGUGAGAUGUGGGUUCGAGGCCCGGCUGACACG
Parelaphostrongylus tenuis is the source of this 75-nucleotide non-coding RNA. The record is from the annotation of a GenBank genome assembly. NCBI's taxonomy places the organism in Eukaryota, Metazoa, Nematoda, Chromadorea, Rhabditida, Metastrongylidae.